UGAAUGAGUAGCGAGAUUUAAGUGAGAAUCUUAAAGGCCGAAUAUCUAAGGCUUCCAGGGUAAAGCUGAUCUUCCCUGGGUAAGUCGGGGCCUAAGGCGAGGGCGAGAGCCGUAGUCGAUGGAUAACAGGUUGAAAUUCCUGUACUGCUUAUGGACAGAACUGUGGGGACGCAGAAGGAGAGCACGAGCCGGAAAUGGAAAAGCCGGUACAAGCGUAUAGCAGUCAUGCAGGCAAAACCGCAUGAAAAAUGUAAAGCGUUAUGUGGAUCGAACAUUAGUAGAGAAGCGUGUGAGCCAGCUGCCAAGAAAAGCCGCUAUUGCUUCAUAAGUACCCGUACCGUAAACCGACACAGGUGGAUGAGGAGAGAAUCCUAAGGCCGGCGGGAGAAGUGUUGUUAAGGAACUCGGCAAAAUGACUCCGUAACUUCGGGAGAAGGAGUGCCACAGAGAUGUGGCCGCAGAGAAAUGGCCCAAGCAACUGUUUAGCAAAAACACAGGUCUAUGCAAAACCGAAAGGUGAGGUAUAUGGGCUGACGCCUGCCCGGUGCUGGAAGGUUAAGAGGAGAGGUUAGAGCAAUCGAAGCUUUGAAUUUAAGCCCCAGUAAACGGCGGCCGUAACAAUAACGGUCCUAAGGUAGCGAAAUUCCUUGUCGGGUAAGUUCCGACCCGCACGAAAGGCGUAAUGAUUUGGGCACUGUCUCAACAACACACCCGGUGAAAUUGAAAUACCAGUGAAGAUGCUGGUUACCUGCGCCAGGACGGAAAGACCCCAUGGAGCUUUACUCCAGUUUGAUACUGGGAUUCGGUACUGUCUGUACAGGAUAGGUGGGAGGCUAGGAAAUGGUGACGCCAGUUGCCAUGGAGCCAACCUUGGGAUACCACCCUUACAGUACUGGGUUUCUAACCUGCAGCCGUAACCCGGCUGGGGGACAAUGUCUGACGGGGAGUUUGACUGGGGCGGUCGCCUCCGAAAGAGUAUCGGAGGCGCUCAAAGGUUCCCUCAGAACGGUUGGAAACCGUUCGAAGAGUGCAAAGGCAGAAGGGAGCUUGACUGCGACACCGACGGGUGGAGCAGAUACGAAAGUAGGACUUAGUGAUCCGGUGGUAUAAAGUGGGAUUGCCAUCGCUCAACGGAUAAAAGCUACCUGGGAUAACAGGCUUAUCACUCCCAAGAGUUCACAUCGACGGAGUGGUUUGGCACCUCGAUGUCGGCCCAUCGCAUCCUGGAGCUGUAGCAGGUUCCAAGGGUUGGGCUGUUCGCCCAUUAAAGCGGUACGCGAGCUGGGUUCAGAACGUCGUGAGACAGUUCGGUCCCUAUCCGGCGUGGGCGUAGGAUAUUUGAGAGGAGCUGUCCUUAGUACGAGAGGACCGGGAUGGACAAACCUCUGGUGUAUCUGUUGUUUUACCAAAGGCAUGGCAGAGUAGCCAAGUUUGGCAGGGAUAAACGCUGAAGGCAUCUAAGCGUGAAGCCCCCCUCAAGAUAAGAUAUCCCAUCUUCGGAGUAAGACCCCUUGAAGACUACAAGGUUGAUAGGCUUUGUGUGUAAGUGCGGUAACGCACUCAGCUGAGAAGUACUAAUAGGUCGAGGACUUACCA
RNAcentral lists this ribosomal RNA (1596 nucleotides) under metagenome. RNAcentral's name for it is "bacterial LSU rRNA". It matches the Rfam family "Bacterial large subunit ribosomal RNA", at positions 1299 to 2925 of the family's 2925-position model. The record is from RNAcentral.